Molecule: non-coding RNA, 664 nt
Organism: Scatophagus argus
Lineage: Eukaryota; Metazoa; Chordata; Actinopteri; Scatophagidae
Source: the annotation of a RefSeq genome assembly
ACCUCAAGGACCACAAACACUCCACGUUCCACUUUGAUUCCUCACGUUGGUUUUAAUACGACAGCAAACGGGAUCAGAGGUCGUCACGCACUGCAGAGACACGCCCACCAGUGACUCCUCACACCUCACCACAGUUAGUUCUCACACUGACAGUUACAGUACAUGAGACUUUAAACAUGGACAUUAUCCAACACGGUCUCCUCAGCUUCUUAUUUCUGCUCUGGAACGAAGGACUGACUGAUGGAAGUGAUGUGACCCAGACUGACAUACUGUGGAAAAACGAGGGCGAAGACGCAACAAUGAACUGCAGCCACACUAAGAGUGUUGACUACAGCUACAUGUACUGGUACAGACAGGUGCCAGGAGAAACGAUGAAGCAGAUCGUCCUCACUAGAGCUGGCAUAGAAGAUCAUGACUUUGGAAGUUUCAGCAAAGAGAAAUUCUCAGCCACCAAACCUGAUGUUCAGAAUGGGACAUUCACGGUGAAGAAUCUGGUGCCAGGAGACAAAGGCUUGUAUUUCUGUGCCGUUAGUAAACACAGUGAUACAGACACAUGUGAAAGCUGAACAAAAACCCCAGUGCAGUCUUUGCACCACUGUUUCCAAAGCUAAUUAUCUCACGUACUGUAGGGGGACCUCGAGGACCACACAUUCUCACAAAUGAC